UGGCUGUGGUUCAUUAUAUCCAAAAUCACGAUACAUCUGAAGGAGAAACGUGCAAGAAUAGCCCUAAGUUAGUCAAUUCAAAUUCUGGUUUUCAUGAAUCUCCUCACCGACAAACCACCCAUAUAAAAUUUAGACAAACCUCUUUACCCUUAAAAAAAAUGGUUGAGGUUGCAAGCAUUUCAAAUCAUUUAGCCUGAAUUCGAAAAUCAGAGAAUUCCUAAGGUUUUUCUUGCUUCCACGACUUCAAAAAUCAGCAAACUCUCAAAGAUUACCUCGAUAUCGACCGUCGGGAACUCAACAUUGGAGUCCUCAUCCCGCAAGUCGGCUGCGCGAACUCAACACCAGAGUCCUCUUCUCGGUAGAAAUUUUGGUUUGUAAGGUUCACUUACUUAAUUAGGUAAGGUUAAUUACAUUUGUGGCACCAAAUCUAAUUCCGUAUGGGUUAAUUUCAUUUGCAUCACCAAGACUGGUUUAUUUAGUUUUAAAAUCUUGUUUAGAUUGAUAGACUCCCAUUCUAUAGAAAAGUAUUUGAAAACAUCAUUCUACCAAUUAAUUUUAAAAUAGAUUUAAAAAGUUUGUUUGCCACAGAAGUCAUUUGAAGAGAAUUAAAAAUGAUUAUUGUGUUUGUUAUCUACAAUAGUCAUUGACUUGUUUAGGUUCAUAAUUUGCAAUGUUGAGGGUUUUUUAGGUUUUUCUUGUGUUAAAUUGGUGCUUAAAACUGAUAUUGAAUUAAUUGGUUGUGGUUGAUUUCCAUUGUAGAAUGGGAAAAAGGAUUCCAUAAUGUGUCAUUAUUGUAGAGUUAAUAGAGACACAUCUUGAUAAAUGCCGAAGUAAGCAUCGGUGCCAUACUGUAAGAGUGGAUUCCAAAAGUGUUUUGAGGUGAAAAGGGGGAUCGAUAAUAAAGGAAAUCUAUUCAAAUGCUGUAGUUAAAAAUGCAAUUUUUGGGAAUGGGUUCGAGAAGGUGAAUCAAGCGAAUCAAGUGUCGUCAAUAGCUCGGUGAAUCCUUCAUCGAAGGAAGCAAUGUCAGAUUUGUCCCUUAUGUUUCAAUAUCAAAUUGAGCUACAUGACAAAGAAGAUGUCUAGAUUUCGAUGAACAUGAACUUAACGAUCCACAAUGGCAAAAAAACCGUGGAAAAGAAUGCAAAAUGAAAGUGGCUGGCUUGAUUAGUAGCCCUCAAUAUUUAAUAAAUGUUUACGUUAUGUAUGUUUGUAUUUGUGUGACUAUUUCUAGAGAACUUUGUGCCUACUUCCAGAAAAUGGACCCAAAAGAUGCUUUCUGAUGACUGGUUCUAGUUGUAACUUGUGUGCCUCUUAUUAUUGCCUGAAUAAAAAAUGUGUAACAAAGCCAACCCAAUCUAAAGUGUUUAACAAAGUGCUUAACAUAAUCAUUCCAAACAUUACAUUCAAAAUUAGAGAUGUCUGAAUACUAAAGUGUUUAACAAAACCAAUUCAAUCCAAAGUGGUUAGCAAAACCAAUCUAAAAAUCUCAUUGAAAACUAAAGAUCCAUCAAUGCAAUAAAUUGAAAUCCGUGAAUAUGAUAAUGUUGUUGGCAUUAAAUAUUGUUGAUGUUGAGAUGCCUGAAGAUCAUGUGUACCAAUUGUUAUAGCACUCUGAUUGGAUGUAGGUCUUUUUCCUUUGCGCGAUGUCAUUGUUGUUGGAAAAAUGAGUAAAUGACUCACUCUUGGCAAAAUUUUCGGUGGGACCUGUUGGUCCAAUUUGGAAGAUCAAAGUGAUCCGUGUUCUCCUCCAUGAGAGCAUCAAAACCAUAUAUUUACUUGCCAAAAUUGAUGAAUGGAUGAAUGAGAAAUUGGAGCUCAAAGUUGACCAUUAGAAGAUGGUUUAUGUAGGAAAAAAUUGAGUUUGUCCCACAUAGGAAAAAUAGGAAAACAUGAACCACUUUAAAUAUGGUUGCACAUUGGAAGGGUGUAAUCAUGUGUAGCAUAAAGGCUCUCUCCGCGUGCGCAUGUAAGAGGGUGUAAAUCAAAGACCGAAAUUACCUUCAGACCUUGAAUUUGUGUGCGGGCGCAACCUGCGUACAUGAAUGUCGGACCGAACCGAGCAAAAAUUGGCCCAUUUGGAGUGUCCACGUUUUGUAAUUUUUUGCUUUCUCCAACUGACUUUUGAGUUUUCGAAAAUUGUCAAAACUCCCAGAAAUUGAAACAACUCCAGUGUUUAUUGCUAUAGAGUUAAUAGGCAGAUUUAAUCUUAUAUUAAGUCUCAUUUCCAGUAAUUCUAAAUGUGAGAAUACACACCAAGAAAUUUGUCCAUACACACGAAAAUAGUCUGCAUUCAUAAUCUGUUGCAUUUUCAGCGUCAUCUUGGUAGUGAUAUUGUUCGAAUGCAAACUCAGUUCGCCAGAGUAGUAUCUGUAUUGCUCAGAUUCUAUGGGCUUUACCGUUGUAUCCUGGGAAACAUACUCUUGGAUUAGACCUCAAGCACUUACGGUGAGGUGACGAAUCUGUUUUAAAAACACUGUAUUCGGAUAGGCCUCAGGUUGAAAAUUCAUCUGCUAUUUAUUUAUUUUGCAGUUACACUUCGUAAUUUAUUCUUGCUGAUUUAUUUACUUAGCGUUUAUUCGUG
RNAcentral lists this long non-coding RNA (2581 nucleotides) under Olea europaea subsp. europaea. The record is from RNAcentral. Lineage: Eukaryota; Viridiplantae; Streptophyta; Magnoliopsida; Lamiales; Oleaceae.